UGCAGGAAUCUAUCUGAUUGGUCAGCUGAGACUAUGGAAUCAUUGGGUCCUUUAAUCCUUUGGGACGACAAUGCCACAUCUGCUCUGCCCAAUAAGACUUGGAUGAAGGACGUUAUCUAUUUCCUGAAGUCGGGCCUGAAACGCACCUCCAAGGCCCUGCGAAGGAAAAUCUUCGAUCUCAUCAUUACCGCAUCAGCCACAAGUAACGGUAACGAUGUAAAAGAACUCACUGUGGAGAUGAUUGAAGAACUGGGAAUGAACAACAUCUACUUGACAGCUGCACAGCUGGAUGGGAUGUCAGACACAACCUUCCUUGCUACUUUAGAAACACUCAGAACCGUCUCUGGCUACAAGGCAGACCGGCUGGCCGUGCUCAGAAACAAAGCAGUCAAGACCUUGGGCCCGGUGUCACAGAUGAAUGAGAGUGUGGUGAUGCAGAUGGGAUGUAUAACUCAGGGCUUCUCCAACACAGACCUGAAGAUGCUCCCCUUCUCACUGGACUCUCUAGAGGAUAUUGCUAACUGUGGGUGGAAGGAGUCCCAGAUGGAGUCGGUGUGGAAGGGUGUUGCUAAAUAUAACAACUUGACAGCGCAGCAGCUGGGAGCUGCAGACAUUGUAGCACUGAGCCAGUUCAUCUGUGGCCUAAACUCCAACGAGUUCAGACAGCUUAGCAUUGAAGCCUUCAGGGAUGCUGUGGGCUCAAUGAAAAGUGUUGAAUGCUCCUACAAGGUUGCACAGCAUUUGAAAAGUAAUGCUGUGUCUGCAAAUGGAAGUCCCAACACCUGGACUGAAGCACAAGUGUAUGAGCUGGGCAACAUCAUUGGUUAG
RNAcentral lists this long non-coding RNA (828 nucleotides) under Cottoperca gobio. RNAcentral's name for it is "lncRNA (ENSCGOG00000009131.1)". Lineage: Eukaryota; Metazoa; Chordata; Actinopteri; Perciformes; Bovichtidae. The record is from RNAcentral.